Molecule: ribosomal RNA, 468 nt
Filed under: uncultured bacterium
Lineage: Bacteria
Description: partial 16S ribosomal RNA
Rfam family: Bacterial small subunit ribosomal RNA
Source: RNAcentral
GACGAACGCUGGCGGCGUGCUUAACACAUGCAAGUCGAACGGAAAGGCCCUGCUUUUGUGGGGUGCUCGAGUGGCGAACGGGUGAGUAACACGUGAGUAACCUGCCCUUGACUUUGGGAUAACUUCAGGAAACUGGGGCUAAUACCGGAUAGGAGCUCCUGCUGCAUGGUGGGGGUUGGAAAGGUUCGGCGGGUGGGGAUGGACUCGCGGCUUAUCAGCUUGUUGGUGGGGGAGUGGCUUACCAAGGCUUUGACGGGUAGCCGGCCUGAGAGGGUGACCGGCCACAUUGGGACUGAUAUACGGCCCCGACGCCUACGGGAGGCAGCAGUGGGGAAUAUUGCACAAUGGGCGGAAGCCUGAUGCAGCACCGCCGCGUGCGGGAUGACGGCCUUCGGGUUGUAAACCGCUUUCGCCUGUGACGAAGCGUGAGUGACGGUAAUGGGUAAAGAAGCACCGGCUAACUACGUG